CCUACGGGAGGCAGCAGUGAGGAAUUUUGCGCAAUAGGGGAAACCCUGACGCAGCAACGCCGCGUGAGUGAAGAAGGCCCUCGGGUCGUAAAGCUCUGUCAAGUGGGAAAAAAGCUUACUGGUAAAUAGCCAGCAAGACUGAUGGUACCAUUGAAGGAAGCACCGGCUAACUCCGUGCCAGCAGCCGCGGUAAUACGGAGGGUGCAAGCGUUGUUCGGAAUUACUGGGCGUAAAGGGCGUGUAGGCGGUGUGGUAAGUCAGAUGUGAAAGCCCUGGGCUUAACCCAGGAAGUGCAUUUGAAACUGCCAUGCUUGAGUAUGGGAGAGGAGAGUGGAAUUCCCAGUGUAGAGGUGAAAUUCGUAGAUAUUGGGAGGAACACCCGUGGCGAAGGCGACUCUCUGGACCAAUACUGACGCUGAGGCGCGAAAGCGUGGGGAGCAAACAGGAUUAGAUACCCUGGUAGUCCACGCUGUAAACGAUGAGCACUAGGUGUAGCGGGUAUUGACCCCUGCUGUGCCGUAGCUAACGCAUUAAGUGCUCCGCCUGGGGAGUACGGCCGCAAGGCUAAAACUUAAAGGAAUUGACGG
This 587-nucleotide ribosomal RNA is filed under the name uncultured bacterium. Its description in RNAcentral is "bacterial SSU rRNA". It matches the Rfam family "Bacterial small subunit ribosomal RNA", at positions 338 to 916 of the family's 1533-position model. The record is from RNAcentral.